UUGGCCCUGAAUCAAGGCUAGCCAUUUGCUGAAGCUGUUGGUUUCAAGCAGGAGCCUAAAAAAAUGUUUUUCUAUCAUCUGUUGGCUAUUUCAGAACUUUGGAAAUGUAAUAGUCAAUUUAUUAGAAAGAAAUAUCU
Molecule: small nucleolar RNA, 137 nt
Organism: Cynocephalus volans (Philippine flying lemur)
Lineage: Eukaryota; Metazoa; Chordata; Mammalia; Dermoptera; Cynocephalidae
Source: RefSeq, a predicted model, not a curated record